Molecule: long non-coding RNA, 7652 nt
Filed under: Daucus carota (carrot)
Lineage: Eukaryota; Viridiplantae; Streptophyta; Magnoliopsida; Apiales; Apiaceae
Description: long non-coding RNA (DCAR_LNC003912)
Source: RNAcentral
GCUCCAUUAGUUCAGGGGAUUUCUUACAUGUGUGUGGCUUAAAAAUCACCUUAGUGUUCAUAUACUAAUUUUGGCGCAGACCAUUUAAGUUGAUAUUGUUCAUAUCCUAUUUAAGUUUUGUGUCACAAUUUUAGACAUAACUUGAAAUAAUUUCUGACACUGUAACCAUGUUUAAAUAUCCUGGAAACAUCGCAAAUUAUAUAAGGCACAUAAUUAAAGAGAUAACAUAUUUACAUUCUCGGGCUCUAGUUAUAGUUCAGUAGCAGCACAAAUAAUUUUGUAUCUGAAUCCGAAAGAUCUUAGAGAAAAAGAUGGUCAACAUGAAACUCGACUAGGCCUGGGAGAAAAAACACUGACAGCUAAUCUUGAUUUGCAAACCGUGACUGAGCUCGUCCUUAUAAACGACACAACUGAUACAGCCACUGAUUUCACUCUAACAGCAGCCCUGUUAAGUUUCCGCGACUUGAGCAUUUUUCUUGAAGACAUUUCACCUGAUCCUAAAUUGUAACUCUGAAGGUAAAUCAGCCUUUUCUUCGCUCUGUCACGCUUAUAACUCAAACCCUUGGUUUCAUUAUCCACACUUGUCACCUUUCGCCGCGAAGUGGUUAAAUUCUGGCGGUAAUCAUCUUCUGCAAAACUCUGAUCAAGAGGCUCGUAUGAGGCCUGCAGGUCAGCCCUUCUGCGGCUGAAGCGCAAUGUGGUGUUUUUUACAAGGGAAUUCAUGGUUGGUUUGGUGAAGUGAAGAUGUUGAGUAUUGAUUUUAUAGGCUAAGUGUGGAGUAUGUGGUUUUCUUUGUGAUAUUUAAAUGGCCGUAUGCUUUUUAUGUAUGUAUGAACCGUGAGUAGGAUUCAACUAAAAAAUAUUUAGUGUGAUUGAACACGUUUUGACUGUUAUCUUGAUUUUUUCCGUUGUUGGUAGGCGCAAAAAUCUUCAGAAAAAUCCAAGUCAACUACUUCAACAACCUGGAGUUUUCUGCCUAGCUACCCCAUGGCCGCCUUCACAACAAAUUUUAGUAAUACUGGUACCACACACUCGAUUUUAGAUUCCCUGAGAGUGGCUGAAUAGGAUUUGAAGAAAUAUCGAAAAAAAAGGUUUAUAAUGUAUAAAGGAUGUUAAUGUUAAGGAUCAUCUUGUUUGUUGUAGAAAUGGACAUUUGUAUUAGUAGGUGUUUUAAAGAUUUCCGAUUUGUUUUUAAAAAAUAUUUUAUCAAUUUAUUGUUGAUUAUAUUCUGAUUAUUAACCAAUCAUGAUAUCAGCAAAUAAAAAAGGCUGAAUUUUUGUUAAUUAAGUAAAGAAAAGUUGCGCAAUGUUCUAAAGAAAAAGUUAGCAGCUGACUAGCCUGUCUUUCCAACAAAUCCAGUAGCUCUCAGCUUUUUGGUAUAAAUAAUAAAAACGGCAGUUAGUACUCUGGAUGAUCUUGGCUCGAAAAGCAAGUCUUAUCUGCUUCUCAAUGUCUGAAUAUAUAUUACUGUAUUUUUAAUAAGUGUGUCUGGAUGAAAUCAUCGAGACCGUUUGACCAAAUUUAAAAAAAAAAAAAGUUUUUAUUAUUUAUUAAAAUAAAGAAGAUUAUAAGUGAAAAGUGAUUUGAGUUACAAAUUAUUAAAAGUGUUUGUGUAACACCCCAGUCUCACACCGAGUCUUGUGGAGACUUUGGUUCAGUUUAUAAGCAUAAGUACUACUACCAAUUGCACCAACAAAUCAUAAUCUUUUGGGGGUCUGUAGUGGGCUUGUGGAUUACCCAAGCUGUUGCGAUUGAGCCAAUAUAUUUAGGCUUAUUUUCGGAUUCCCACGAAGGCUGGUGGUAUUAUCCCGCAAUGGGCAGAGAUCCAGAAGCGGGGACACGAAGACAGCCGGUAUUAUCCCACAAUGGCUAGAGAGGUUCGAUCUACGAACCUAGGCCUGUGGGCUAUCCGUUUCGGCCUGACAAGAGUGGGGGAGUUUGUAACAUCCCAGUCCCACAUCGAGGAGACUUUAGUUCAGUGCUCUAACAAAUCAUGAUCUUUUGGGGGCCUGUGGUGGGCUUGUGGAUUACCCAAGUUGUUGCAAUUGGGCCCGUAUAUUUAGGCUUAUUUUCGGAUUCGGAAUUCGGGACUUGACCCGAUUUUCAGAAAAAGACUCGGGAUUUGACCCGGGUUGUUUCAGUUUGUAUAAUAUUAUUUAUAAGUGAAUUGAGUAUUUGGUAAUUUAAAUUUAUUAAUUGAAAUAAAAUUCAAAUUAGUAAAAUUGAAUUAUUUAUUAAUAAAUUAAAUUUAUUGCACAAUAAAAAUUUAAACUUCUAUAAUAAAUUACUAAUCACUAAAAAAUGCAUUUCUCACUUCAAAAUCCAAAACAAUCUUUUGCCAAACAACGAGUAACAAGAAGCAAAGUUGAGGUGCUACCAGAAGCUCGUUACCAACCAGGCCCUAUACAUGUGUUUUAAAAUAAAUAAAUUUAAGAGAUGAAAAAUUGUACAGAUUAUACAAUUGUUAACAAUAGAUUUUACUUUAAUUUUUUUUUUUUAGAGAGAUUUUACUUUAAUUCUGUUUAAACUAUAGCAAUUGAUAUAUAAAAAAACAGAAUUACAGGAAUUCGAACAUCAGCAUCAUCAGUUCAUCACGCAAUGAGUCAUGAGAUUUGAAUCGAAUAAAAUAAGAGUAUUACUGUAAGCUUUAGGUGGAUAUAAAUGAGGAUUUUUAAUACUCCCUCCGUUUCAAAUUAGAUGUCCACUUUUAAAAAAUCACACAGUUUAAGAAAACUAGUUGAACACAAAUUAAUUGCAUUAAAUGAGCAUAAUAUGUGGUGUGAGAUUGAUCUAGGAAAUAUAAAUAAGAGAUCUGUGGAGGAGAAUUGACUUAGGAAAUAUGAUUUUGCAUUGAAAGUUGAAGUGGACAAGUAAUUUGAAACAAAAAAUUUUCUUGAAAAUGGACAUGUAAAUUGAAACGGAGGGAGUAGAAAAGAUGCACUGGCAAUGAUGCCCACGUGGGGCGCGCCAACUGGAUAUAUAACCGACGUGGCAGCUGCUCGAGAACUUAAUGGGAAUCGUGGUGACUCAUGGGAAGAUCUGAACAAUUUUUUAAUUCGGACAUUGUUGUUGACUAGGAAUCAACUGAAACUGCAAAAUGGAAAUCCACAACUCAAUUCGUCUCUACUUAUCUCUCAAGGGAUUAAUUUAGAAAAUCUUUAACUUACAUAAAAAACAAAAAUAGAAAAUCUCUUAUCAGCCUGCUAAUUCUAAAGAGAGAUAUGUUAAUUUUUUUAGAAGAUAAUUUAAAAUUUUGAUGGCAUGUACUACUUUAUUUAUUACUAUAAUAAAAUAAAAGUUAAUUUUAAAGGAACAAGAAAAGAGGGACGAGGCGAUAUUAAUUUAUUUGCUUGCUAUUUUAUCUGUAUCACUGUCUAACAAUUUUUUUUAUGGGUUAAUUAUCAAGUUGGUCACUGAAGUGGGCUUAAUGUAUCAAGUUGGUCACUGAAUUCAAAACGGUAUCAAGAUAGUCACUGAAGUGGCCAUAAUUAUCAAGUAAGUACUUUGAAAUAUGAGUUCAAGUAGUAAAAAUAUUAUUUAUAAAGUUUUACACAUUAUUUUUAAAUGUUAGCACAGCCAACUAAAAGGUUAUGCCUUCUAUUAUUUAAAAUAAUAUAUUUAUAUUUUAUCAAGUUUAUUUAUUAUUUAUAUUUUAUUAUAUAGUUAUUUAUUUGUUUUAAUUAAAAAUAAAUAAUAAAUAAACUUGAUAAAAUCAAAAUAUAUUAUCAUAAAUAUUAGAAGUCGUAACCUUUUACUUGGUUUUGGUAUAAUUUAAAAAUAAUGUGUAAAACUUUAUAAAUAAUAUUUUUACUGCUUGAACUUAUAUUUCAAGGUACUUGUUUGAUAUUUAUGGCCACUUCAGUGACCAUCUUGAUACCGUUUUGAGUUCAGUGACCAACUUGAUAAUUAACCUUUUUUUUUAUUAGGUGGUGGUUUUUGAUUGGUGUAAUUUUUUGUGUAUGCACUGGGACCAUCAUUAUUAAUGGGAUGAGAAUUAAUAAAAAUCUACCAUCUAGCUAAAAAGUGAUUGUUAAUAUGUGCCAGAAAAUCCGCUUUUUUAAUACUCCCUAUGUUCAACCAUUUCUUUACCUUUUCCUUUUUGAGAAGUUUAAUCCAAUUUUUGGCAUUUAAAAACUUAUGAAAAAUAGUCAAUGGUUCCCACUAUUUCUCCAUCUUUCAUUCUUUUCACACUACUUUUACUUCACUAUCUUCUUUUUAAACAUUAAAAAUCAAUAGGUCUCACCACUUCUCCCGUUUUUGUUUCCUUUUCCANCUGUAUUGAAUUGUUGAAGAGAAGAUAUUAAAAAAAUUGGCAAUCGUCUCUUUUAUAUAUAUAUAUAUAUAUAUAUAUAUAUAUAUAUAUAUAUAUAUAUAUCUUAACUUUCUUGUCCAACCCAUUAGAUAAGAAAUGGGAAGGACGGAGAGAGUAUAUACACUCUAAUAACAAAAAAUUACAAGAAUUAAUAUAAUGUCCUACACUCAUGAAGUUAUACAUAUCGAACCAUGAUAUGCAUUUUGUAAAGUAUCUUCUUGAUAACUAUAUAAUUUAAUAAAUUGUAAAUUAAAAAUGUCAUACUACACAAAUGCUGGCAACCUUUUGAGGUUACUCUUAAUUUCAAUAUCCAUCAUAUUAUUACUAAAUAUAUGAUGAACAUAGUUGCAUCCAUGCACAAAAAUUUCAUAUCACCAAUCACAAUAUUGAAAUGACAUAGUAUUUUUAAUAUCUUCUGAUAAUGUUGACAUACUAUAUUUAAAAAGUAACUAAUUAUUAUAACCAACUUCACUAAAAUACAUCAUCGUAGAACAUCUACAACCCUAUUGGCUAUAUACACAUAUACUCAAAGAAAAUUGACUAUAAUAAUUGAUUAUAUUUUCGAAAUGUUAUGCUAUUAUUAUUUCAACUUGUUGAAAUAGUGAUCUCUUCGAUCAAUUAUAACUACAAAUCUACUAAUUUAUGUCGUAUAAUCUCGUAUCACGAUAAGCAAUUAUUUUAGUGAUUUUUAUAUUCUUAAUGAGAUCAUAACAAUAAGAUAUAAGUUGUGUUACGAUGAAUACAUAAGAAUUUAACACAAAUUACAGAUCCUUUCAAUAAUACGCUUUUCGUUGCGAAAUUUCUUCAUCUUUGAUAAUGUAUGGAGCAUUUCUUCACUAUUUAUUUUCAUUUAGUGAAAAUUACAAGUGAUUAACCAGAUCUAAUGAAUUAAAUAAUGAAGAAAAUGCUCCAUGGAUUACCAACUUGAAAAUAAACACUAAAGAUAUAAAAUAUAUUGCAAAAGAUAUAUGUAUAGAGAACUUAAGAUAUUUUUGAAGAGAUGAGUGUAUAUGAUUAUAUAUAUAGAGAGAGGAUGGACGGAGAAAACAAUGACAAUUAAACAGUUAUGAGUAUGUAACGGUUGGGCGAAGAAAAUAAUAAGAAUUCAAUAGUUACAUAUCUGUAACGGAUAUGAAAAAUGAAUAAAUUAAUUAAUGAUUACAACUGUACAAAGGACAAACAUAAAUAUAAUUAAUGAUUGAAUAUCUAAUUAAUAAAUAUAAGGGAUGUAUUCAAUUGGGAUUUUAAAAGACUUUUUUUAUUCAUGAAAUCUAAGAGUAUUCGAUUGGGAUUGUUUAAAAUUCAUUAAAAUCUGAGGGUAUUCAAUCAGGAUUUUAAAUUAUGCUUAAAAGUGGUAUUCAAUUGAGAUUGUUUAAAAUCCAUUAAAAUUUGAUGGUAUUCAAAUGCUGAUGGAUUUUUUUGAAUUUCAUAAAUGAUGGAUUUUGUGGGAUUUCUCGGUGUAUUUUAAGUUUUUUGAAAUCGCACCAAAAUCAAUGAGAUUUUGAAAUAUUAUACUUAAAUCCUAAAGAAUCUUUAUCAACUAUGCGAUAUUUUAUCAAGAAUCCGCACAAAAUCAAAAUAACAUACAAUCCAUUAAAAUUCAUAGCAUAAAAAUAAUCAAUUAAAAUCUCAAUCGAAUACCCUCCACAAUGUUUAUCUCAGUGACUUUAGCGAGAUACAUAUGUGAAUGUAUCAUUAGAGCAUCUCCAACCAUCUAAAACCCUUGGCUAAAAGGUGAGUUGGCAUACUUAAAAUAAAAAAAUUUAGCCAACAGCUCCAAAAACUCAACUCCAACCAUGCUCAGCUGUUAUCUAUAAAUUUAGCCAACCUCCUAUGGAUGGCUAAAUUUGUCGAACCUCUACAGGUCUGUAAGAAAAUCUGUAGGAAGAUUGUACAUCAUUUAUUACCAUAUUGAACUGAUAUAUUCUAUUUUAACAAUUUAAAAUAUUAAUAACAUACUAUUUUUAAAUUAUAGCCAACCAAUAUAGCCAGUACCAUUGAAACAAAAUGUGUUACACGUUCAGCAAAUUUUACAUAAUGUCUUACAGGUCCAAUUUAGCCAACGAUUAUAGCCAACGCCGUUGGAGUAUAUGAAUCACCUGUCAUAUUUAUUUAAUUUAAUGCGAUAGAUUUUUUAUAGCAAAAAUCUUUGUUUGUUAUCUUGAAUUAAAUUUACUAUAUUCAAAAUACAACUGAUAAUAUAUAUAUAUUUUUGUCAUAAAACGAUUAUAUUAAACCAAGAUAAGUUACAAUCCGGAUGAACAGAAUUUUCUUCAUUCAAGAAUGUAUAUCAUAUAACCGAAAGGAUGUAAAUACUCCGGAAGCUUAGAUAACAUAGUCUUUUAAGUCAGAAGAGAUAACGCAUAAAAAAAGGCCUCGUUAAAAACUCGAGGGGGAAAAGAGUGCCCUACAAAAUUACAUCGUUUACAAAAUAAACUAUAAACUAAUAUCUUCCUUAUUUCCUUCUAUCAAUAUUUAUCCAUAAAAUACGAGUGAAUUUGAAAAAAUUUCUUAAAAUCUCUUUCAAAUAUCUUGAAAAUAAGACAGAUUCAAAUAAAAAGAAUACCAGUGAAUUUGAAAAAAAAUUAAAACAAAUACAUAAAUGAGUCAAUAUUAUAGCACAAUUAUCUCCCAAUUAGCACCCUUCUUUUCCGUCCCUUCUAAAUCUUUCUACCACCACCAUCGAUGUUAAGAUCUUGGAAGUUCCCUAAUAAUAUAUUUGAGAUUGAACAAUUUAGAAUUAGAUAUCCAAUCAUUCAUUAUUUCUACGUAUGUCCGUUGUACACUUGUUAUUAUUUUAUCCACAUCCGCUAUAAAUGUUAGAAUUUUUAUUAUUUACUCUUCUAUGGCACCAUCAAAGAUUUCUUCUUCUGUUCUUGGUCAAAAUCUGACCAGACGUAUUUCAAAAGAUAUAGAAUAAUUUGGACAGAGGCUCCAUCAGUUCAGGGGAUUUCUUACAUGUGUGUGGCUUAAAAAUCACCUUAGUCUUCUAAUACUAAUUUUGACGCAGACCAUUUAAGUUGAUGGUGUUCCUGUUCAUGUCUAAUGUAAGUUUUGUGUCACAAAUUUAGACAUAACUUGAAAAAUUUCAUACAAGCCGUCGAUUCUGAUACUGUAACCAUGUUUAAAUAUUCUAGAAACAUCGCAUAUAUAUUGUAGAAGGCACAUAAUUAAAGAGAUAACAGUAUUUACAUUCUCGGGAUCUAACAAUCAGCAAUAGUUAUGGUUUAGCAAAAAGAUGGUCUAACAUGAAACUCGACUAUGCCUGGGAGAAAAAACACUGACAGCUAAUCUUGAUUUACAAACCGUGACUGAGCUCAUCCGUAUGAACGACACAACU